Long non-coding RNA from Amphiprion ocellaris (clown anemonefish), 3860 nucleotides. The record is from Ensembl. NCBI's taxonomy places the organism in Eukaryota, Metazoa, Chordata, Actinopteri, Pomacentridae.
AGUUGUAAUCUGGCAGAAUGAUCAUUAAGGCUUCAGGUUAACAAUAUAAUAGGGCUGAGCCAUAAGAACAAAAUAAUACCACAUAUCUGUAUGUACCUCGAUAAUGACAGAUAAAUCUUUGAAUCAUUAAAAUACAUAUUCAAAAUUUCCAGAGAACCUAGAGGGUAGUUAAAAUUAUGUUGUUUUUAAACUACCCUCAUAGUCAGUAAAAGGGUUCAGUUAUCAACCUUAUGUGAUGCUUGUUACCUUGAUUCUAUAUUAGACCAGGAAUCACUUUCACCUUUGUUAAUAAGUGCACACUCAACUAAAAACAAAGCAAAAAUAGGACAAUUUUAUCUCACCAAACAAAUAUGAAACUGUCUCUGACUUGUGUUAACCCAGAAAGUUCUUUCAGUCCCUUUGCCAAAACCCUGUUCAGAUUCUGGUCACUUUUCAGCCACAUGGCUCAGCAAAGCUAACUGAUACGGGGAUUGUAACGCUGGGUCAAUAUAUUUAAGACUGUUCCUCCAGACAUUAAGGGUUUUAGUUUAGAUUUUAAAGGUAAAAUCCAGUCAAACUAUGUCUGCAGCAGAGAAAAAGUGGUUACCGAAGGUUAGAAGUCUUCUCUUUGAUAUGCAUUUAUUAUAUAAUGUGACUGCAGUAUGAGUAAUAUAUUAAUUAAUUCCACCAACACAACUUGAAAGCCUAAUUUACUGAUUGUCCUUUACUGGAAUUUUAACCUCAGGCCUUUUUAUUCAAAGGAAAUGUGAUGACCUGAUGUUACCUUUAAAGAUUUUUCACAGUUGGUCAACUGUAAUUCCCAUGCAGUUAUACAGAAGAUAAACAUCUCACUAAGAAAGGUAGUUUGCUACCUGCAAAUAUACAGGUUUAAGACAUGAUAAUCCUGCUCCUCUGGCCAAUUACAUUGAGCUGGUCCUAUACAGUGCAUACUGAAUGACGCUCUACAUCUGACCACCAACACGGAGACGAUUUGGUUAAAAGUCUGUUUGUUUCUGUUAAAUCAAAAUGUGUACUACAUGAACUGCAUGUGGAGGCUGUGCGAGGUUAUGGCUGCCUCUUUUGUUGACUGUCCUCAGCCCCGUUCCCCUGUAAGCACCACAUCUGAUCCCAAAUCAGCUCCUGUAGCAUGCCCACUGUCUCGUACUUUUCUCCUCCAAACAUCAAACUAAUGUCUCAUUAAUUAAAGGGCUUAUUAAGAUAUACAACACAUUCGAAAACGCCCAAAUUGUUAGCAGGCAAAGGGUAUUAAAAAAAAAAAAAAAUGAAGCGACAACGAAACGUGGCUCAUUUCCUACUUUGUAAACUCAUACAACUUCAACACAAAGGCAUUUACUGGCUGUUACUGGAGAGGGGGAACAGAAACAAAUCCAGAGAGAGGAGCACGUCAUUGUUUGUGUGAGCACUAAUAGCAUUUCCUGAUAAUCGUCUAAGUCAGCUGACACUUUGGUUUAUUUUAUUAAAUGUCGACCAGUGUGUGAACAGAAAGGAAUGGCGUGACCUUAAGGGCUGACUUCUUCUUUAGUUUCUGGUUCUACUUUGUGUCUUUUUGAUGGCUGUGAGAUCAGGUGUCUGAUAAAGACAAGCAGAUAUAGCUGGAAGCAUUUGUUCUUUUCCACUCUAAAGUGUGUUUAUUACUUAUAUGAGAUGUCCAAUCUGAUAUCUGAUGUCAAGAGUUUUAUUAUACACCUUAUAUGAAGAUUUAAAAUUAAUCAUUAUUCACACCAUGUCUAUAUAGAAAGUAUAUUGGCUUAUUUUGACACUUGCUGUUUAGACCCUGCCCCGCUCCUGCUUGCAUGAAAUACACAACUGCUCAUUUGGCACAGCGCACCCAUGCCCAUCUUGAAUGACUGCAUUCAGUGAUAGAAAACUGCUGCUAUACCAAUGGCCACCAGUAGAUGGAAAUCUAUUUAUUCUUUUACUCUGAUACUGCUGCUGACGACCGACUACACAGGAACUGUCUGAAAUACAGGGAUCAGGAAGGCUGUGGAAGAAAAUGUGAAUCCCCACUCAUCUGUGGGUAACAGUGUGCUGUUGUGUGUGUGUGUGUGUGUGUGUGUGUGUGUGUGUGUGUGUGUGUACCACUGCCUAAAUGCAUAUACAUAGAUGUGUGUCCAUCUCUACUUGCUGCAUGUUCUCUGGAGAACUCAUCGGCGUUGCCAUGACCUUGGGGCUGCGGGACAGAUGUGGCAAACCACCACUGUCUUCUGACGCACAGGGAGCCGCUACAUUAGCCGUCCCAUCACUCAGCGCAGCCUUGAAGCUGCAUGAAUUGUAGUAUGAAACCAUUGUAGUGUACAGUGUGUAAUAACUGCAUUAUUGCCCCAAGACCCCAGAAACAGCCCAGGGAUGAUUUAUAUUCCCUUUGCCCCUAUUUUAACAGAAUACCCCCCAAUCCCCAAUAUGAAAUGAAGUAGAGGAUGGCAGACAGAGUGCAGAUAAGACCAUGAAGUAAAUGACAGUGACUGGUGCCAAAGCACUCCUUGUAUUGAGUAAAAUAAACCAAAUCGAUACACAACACAGUGCUUUAUAUAAUUAAAAGAGCAAAAGGAGGAAUACAGGGUCUGCCAGCGUUGCAGAAAUGUGCCAUGUUAGCAAUAUAUGAUUGCGCCUCGCGAUGGUCACGCAACCCUCGUCACCAGCACACACCAGAGAUCUCAUAUAAGCGGCGUAUGUGUGGUUUCACUCUGCGUCUCAUGCCACCAGUCACAGUGUGAUGUAACAGCCAUCACAAGCCAACUGUUGUUCAUACAAAUAAGCCUGCAUUCACAAGUCAUGCAGAGAGCAUGUCUGCUUUACAUGCACUAAUGCGUCCUCACUGUGGUUGCAUGGGUGCGAAUGCUGUGCGUAUGUGUUGUCCAUCGCUGCCCUUCACACACGUUUGCACCAAGGAUUGGCAAUUUUUUUGUGCGCAAGAUUCCUUCCAAAACGAUAAUAGAAUUAGAUUCAACUGAAGUAAAUCUCUGAUUUGACUUUUGUUAGUAAUGCAGGCAUGCACGCAGCAGUUACUCUGUGAUGAUUUAUUUAUUUAUUUACGUUUCAGUUUGUCAAUUUUUUACUGCAUUAUACUGAGAAGAAAUUGCGUAGGGUCCUAUAGAUUCAGUCUAGAUCCCCGACAAUGGUCUGUAGCAGUCGUAGAGUAUGGUCUGUCACAUUCCAUAACACACUACAAAACUGAUUUUGUGUUUAACCCCUGCACAUAUAGACUAUGUAUGCCUCUUGCCCCCACCCCCCUGUGCACCCAGCACCAAAUGGUAUGUACACUAAUAUUUGCCCUCUUUCACUCUUUCUCAGCCUCUCUCUGUUUUCACAAUAGUUCUGUUCUCUAUCCUGUGGAUCUAUGCAGAAGCCCAUUCCUUUUUUGGUUGUAAAUACGUUCCCUAGUAUGCUGAACAAUGUAUGUCUCUCCUUGUGUAUUUUGAGUUGAUGUCAUGCUGUUACUUUCUUCUUCUUCUUCUCCUUCUUCUAAUCCUUUUUCUUUAAUUUGAGCGUCUGAAAUCAUUGAUGUUAAAAGAGAAUGUGGUGAGGUUUAACCAAUAGACUCGUCCUCAGCUUCGCAACCUUAUUGUGAAAGGUUGUGGUUCUGUGUGUGUGAAAGCGAAAGAUUUAUGAUUAUAGAAAUGAAAAAGGUUCAAAGGCAUAUAGAAGUAUCAUUGCGAUUAUGAUUAUUAUGAUUACUAUUAUACUACCAGUAUAUUGUAAUAUUAUAGAUGCUUUAGUUCAAGUAACUUCUUUAAUUUUUUUACAAACAACUUUGAUGAAAUGAUUUAUAAAACAGUCUCACAAGUCAUGAUCUUUUCGAAAAGUAUGAAAACUACUGCUACAAUGAUUAAAAUUGUGUUCUGAUGAAAAUAAAUACAGAC